Molecule: transfer RNA, 70 nt
Filed under: Alicia sansibarensis
Lineage: Eukaryota; Metazoa; Cnidaria; Anthozoa; Actiniaria; Aliciidae
Description: tRNA-Trp
Rfam family: tRNA
About the family: Transfer RNA (tRNA) molecules are approximately 80 nucleotides in length.
Source: RNAcentral
AGGGGGUUAGGUUAAGGAAGACCAUUAGCUUUCAAAGCAUAGAGUGCGGGUUCAAAUCCCGCACCCCCUG